GUCUUCGGAUGCUGACGAGUGGCGAACGGGUGAGUAAUACAUCGGAACGUGCCCAGACGUGGGGGAUAACGAGGCGAAAGCUUUGCUAAUACCGCAUACGAUCUAAGGAUGAAAGCAGGGGACCGCAAGGCCUUGCGCGUUUGGAGCGGCUGAUGGCAGAUUAGGUAGUUGGUGGGAUAAAAGCUUACCAAGCCGACGAUCUGUAGCUGGUCUGAGAGGACGACCAGCCACACUGGGACUGAGACACGGCCCAGACUCCUACGGGAGGCAGCAGUGGGGAAUUUUGGACAAUGGGCGAAAGCCUGAUCCAGCAAUGCCGCGUGCAGGAUGAAGGCCUUCGGGUUGUAAACUGCUUUUGUACGGAACGAAAAGGCUCUGGCUAAUACCUGGGGCACAUGACGGUACCGUAAGAAUAAGCACCGGCUAACUACGUGCCAGCAGCCGCGGUAAUACGUAGGGUGCGAGCGUUAAUCGGAAUUACUGGGCGUAAAGCGUGCGCAGGCGGUUUUGUAAGACAGAGGUGAAAUCCCCGGGCUCAACCUGGGAACUGCCUUUGUGACUGCAAAGCUGGAGUGCGGCAGAGGGGGAUGGAAUUCCGCGUG
Molecule: ribosomal RNA, 602 nt
Filed under: uncultured Acidovorax sp.
Lineage: Bacteria; Pseudomonadati; Pseudomonadota; Betaproteobacteria; Burkholderiales; Comamonadaceae
Description: bacterial SSU rRNA
Rfam family: Bacterial small subunit ribosomal RNA
Source: RNAcentral